This 263-nucleotide ribosomal RNA is filed under the name Vibrio parahaemolyticus. Its description in RNAcentral is "partial 16S ribosomal RNA". It matches the Rfam family "Bacterial small subunit ribosomal RNA", at positions 1 to 250 of the family's 1533-position model. Lineage: Bacteria; Pseudomonadati; Pseudomonadota; Gammaproteobacteria; Vibrionales; Vibrionaceae. The record is from RNAcentral.
AAAUUGAAGAGUUUGAUCAUGGCUCAGAUUGAACGCUGGCGGCAGGCCUAACACAUGCAAGUCGAGCGGAAACGAGUUAUCUGAACCUUCGGGGGACGAUAACGGCGUCGAGCGGCGGACGGGUGAGUAAUGCCUAGGAAAUUGCCCUGAUGUGGGGGAUAACCAUUGGAAACGAUGGCUAAUACCGCAUAAUAGCUUCGGCUCAAAGAGGGGGACCUUCGGGCCUCUCGCGUCAGGAUAUGCCCAGGUGGGAUUAGCUAGUU